GCAGGGAAACAGAUGGACCCACGAAGUCUUGUUGGUGAUGUGGUUCAUUUACUGUUGCACAUCACAAUCGGUGUAUGAUAGUGAAGUUCUUUCAUAUCAUAUACUAUUGGUUAACUGAUGGUAACAGUGAUGCAUUUCACAUCACCACGAUGGAGCUCUGACCUCUAGUCAUUCGAGAUGUCUAGUGUUGAUCUCUGUGUUAGUAAUAGCAAUCACUUGCUUUUACUCUACAUUGAUCAUGAUCUCUUCAUCUAUCGACUAGAGGGUGAAAUGCACUCUUGAUGAGUGUACUCAGAUUGUCUGUAUAUGAUUGGUCUGAUGAACAGAAUGGUUACUCUUAGUGACUAUCGUCUCUUGUAGACGAUACCAUUUCGAACUAGCCAUUCAUUAACGUUCAACUGUACUGCAUAUACAGAUCGACAAUCCAGAGUAAGUAGGUCGGUCAUCCAUCUGACCC
This 457-nucleotide ribosomal RNA is filed under the name Hygrobates sp. n. 2 MD-2019. RNAcentral's name for it is "partial large subunit ribosomal RNA". The record is from RNAcentral. Lineage: Eukaryota; Metazoa; Arthropoda; Arachnida; Trombidiformes; Hygrobatidae.